Carassius gibelio (silver crucian carp) is the source of this 593-nucleotide long non-coding RNA. RefSeq lists it as uncharacterized. The record is from RefSeq and is a predicted model, not a curated record. The transcript has 2 exons. NCBI's taxonomy places the organism in Eukaryota, Metazoa, Chordata, Actinopteri, Cypriniformes, Cyprinidae.
GUCCGCCAUAUUGGAAUGGUCCAAGCAGGUUCGUGAAAACAUGAGUGCAAGUGGUCUGUGAUCUGCAACCCCAGUUAAACGCAUAUAUGGAUGUCUAUGUAUGCAGUAGACUUCAGCAGAUGAUUUUGCUAAACUAACACAAAACAACAAGAUGAAGCCAUUAGCUAACACGACAUUGUUACACUCCAUUGACUCCAUAAUCACUUUAUGGACACCAAACGCUGAGACUUUUUUUGCAGAGGAAAGAAACUUUGGAGCAACAUCACGGAUGUCCAUCUUGUUUAGGAAGAGGAUGAUGGAGGAACUUGCGAACCAUGGCGAGUGGAUGGUGGUGUAGAAGAGUGACAGGCUCUCUUUCAUGCGGUUCUGGAGCCGGAGAGAGCAAGCAUUCACAGCAGAAGUUAAUUAAAUGAGAGAGACACUAGGUGCAAGAGAGAUUACGCAAUUUGUCAGUGCAGCGUUUCGGUGCAGGUUCACACAAACGUUGAAAUAACGGAGCGUGAAUCUGUCAAGAAAUGUCUGUGUCAUGUUUUAUCUUAAUGACAAAAAAUACAUAUUUUUGCAUAAAUAAAAUUAAGCAUAUUUUAAGACAA